AACGCGAAGAACCUUACCUAGGAUUGAGUGCCGUAAGGAGCGCGGUGACAGGUGAUGCAUGGCCGUCGUCAGCUCGUGUCGUGAGAUGUUUGGUUAAGUCCAUCAACGAGCGCAACCCCUUUACUUAGUUGAAUUUUUCUAAGUAGACUGCCCCGGUAACGGGGAGGAAGGAGGGGAUGAUGUCAGGUCAGUAUUUCCCUUACAUCCUGGGCUAGAAACACGCUACAAUGGCCGGUACAAAGGGUCGCCAAGUCGUGAGACGGAGCAAAUCCCAUCAAAGCCGGUCCCAGUUCGGAUUGCAGGCUGAAACCCGCCUGCAUGAAGCCGGAAUCGCUAGUAACGGUAGGUCAGCACACUACCGUGAAUACGUUCCCGGGCCUUGUACACACCGACUGUAC
RNAcentral lists this ribosomal RNA (398 nucleotides) under uncultured bacterium. Its description in RNAcentral is "bacterial SSU rRNA". It matches the Rfam family "Bacterial small subunit ribosomal RNA", at positions 958 to 1399 of the family's 1533-position model. The record is from RNAcentral.